RNAcentral lists this unclassified non-coding RNA (2020 nucleotides) under Hevea brasiliensis (rubber tree). Lineage: Eukaryota; Viridiplantae; Streptophyta; Magnoliopsida; Malpighiales; Euphorbiaceae. The record is from RNAcentral.
GAUAGGAUCUGAUAAAACCGCAUGCCGUUGACUGCGAUAUUGAUGCGGUGUCUGUUGCUCAUAAAUUUUCAUUAGUUAGCUUUGUCGUUUUUGCUUGCCGUCCCCACCAUUCCAUUAACAAACACUAUCUGUCCCUUUGUGCUGCUCUAUUCCCUUACCAUUUUCAGCACUCGGACCAUUUGCUGCUCAAUGCCCAAACCCUAGCCCGGACCAUGUUCUCCAUUAACGACAUCGUCUUCGAGCCCGAUGACAUUAAGUUCGGCACUCUCUGGUGGUUCGUUUACGCUGGGGUUUCCUGCCUCCUUGUGCUUUUUGCUGGGAUCAUGUCCGGCCUUACCUUGGGCUUGAUGUCUCUUGGCCUCGUUGAGCUUGAAAUUCUACAGAGGAGUGGCUCCUCCACUGAGAAGAAGCAAGCUGCUACUAUCCUACCCGUGGUCAAGAAACAACACCAACUUCUCGUAACUCUGCUUCUAUGUAAUGCUUGUGCUAUGGAGGCGCUUCCUAUAUACCUUGACAAAAUUUUUCAUCCCUUUGUUGCUGUUCUGCUGUCUGUUACAUUUGUCCUUGCUUUUGGGGAGAUCAUUCCGCAAUCCGUAUGUUCAAGAUAUGGACUUUUUGUUGGUGCGAAUUUUGUGUGGUUAGUCCGUAUCUUGAUGAUCAUCUGUUAUCCCAUUGCUUACCCGAUAGGGAAGGUUCUGGAUGUUGCACUAGGACACAAUGAUGCUAUGUUUAGACGAGCUCAGCUUAAGGCACUUGUCUCUAUCCAUAGUCAGGAGGCUGGCAAGGGGGGUGAACUCACGCAUGACGAAACAACAAUUAUCAGUGGAGCACUAGAUCUAACUGAAAAGACUGCAGAGGAGGCUAUGACUCCUAUUGAAUCAACUUUUUCUUUAGAUGUCAAUUCCAAAUUGGACUGGGAAGCAAUUGCGAAAAUUCUUGCACGAGGUCAUAGUCGUGUCCCUGUGUAUUCCGGAAGUCAAAAGAACGUUAUUGGGCUCCUUCUGGUGAAGAGUCUGCUGACAGUUCGGGCAGAAACUGAGACUCCAGUCAGUGCAGUUUCCAUACGACGGAUUCCUAGGGUUCCAUCAGAUAUGCCUUUGUAUGAUAUCCUUAACGAGUUUCAGAAGGGAAGCAGUCAUAUGGCAGCUGUGGUGAAGGUUCAUGCAAAGAGCAAGAAUUCUCAGCCUACCAGUGAUGGAGAGAAAUUCAAUGAAAAAAAAUUUGCCAAUGGGGAUUCUCAGUUACAUGAGCCCUUGCUAAACAAGCAUGAUGAGAAAUCAGAAAGUUUCCUCAUUGAUGUUGAGAAAGCUGUGAGGCCUACCAUGAUCAAUGUGAAACAAAUUCUUGGUGCAGCAACAAAUAUGUCUCAUUUGUCAGAGGAUGUUGAAGAUGGGGAAGUCAUUGGUAUUAUCACACUUGAGGAUGUUUUUGAAGAACUUUUGCAAGAGGAAAUUGUGGAUGAGACAGAUGUAUAUGUUGAUGUACAUAAAAGAAUUCGUGUGGCUGCUGCAGCAGCUGCUUCUUCUGUGGCUAGAGCUCCAUCCAAUCGGAGGCUGACUGGUCAAAAGCCUGCAGGUGGUCAAGCUAAGCAGAGCCAGAUCACAAAGAAGUAUGGCGGAUGAUAUUGGACAAAGUUCCAUGGAAUACAGCAAGACUUUUCAGGAAAUAAGAGGAGACUUGAUAAUUCCAGUUCGACAAUUACGCUAUAGGUUCGAAUGUUUAAUUUCUUUGACGUCCGUGGCUUCUGUAAUCAGUAGGUAGAUCACCUUACAAUAUCAGGUCUUGGUUUUUUUCUCUCUGUAUACUAAUCUUUUGUCCAUAGUGAACUUGAAAUCAGACAGGCUUGUGAAAAAUUUUAAAAGUUUCAGCUGUUGUUACACCAGCCACAUCAGUCUAGUAAUCACAUGGUUAACGUGGUUUCUGGGAGAGUGGAGCAGGGUGAGUGAAGUUGUCCCCCCUGUAUCUCCUCAAUUAGGGAAUGCCCUGUGUUGUGUUGGUCAAAUUUAUUACAUUAUUUGAC